AAGUCGUAACAAGGUUUCCGUAGGUGAACCUGCGGAAGGAUCAUUACUGAACUGUCGACAUGAGCUGUUGCUGGUCUCCAAACGGGACAUGUGCACGCUCUGUCAACACAUCCACUCACACCUGUGCACCCUCUGUAGUCCCGUUGCCUGGGGGGCUCUGCCCCCCUGGUGUGGUUCUACGUCUUUACACAUACUCUGUAACAAAGUCUCAUGGAAUGUGCAUCGCGUAUAACGCAAUACAAUACAACUUUCAGCAACGGAUCUCUUGGCUCUC
RNAcentral lists this unclassified non-coding RNA (274 nucleotides) under fungal sp. RNAcentral describes it as "partial internal transcribed spacer region". The stretch from base 1 to 46 matches the Rfam family "Eukaryotic small subunit ribosomal RNA", at positions 1786 to 1831 of the family's 1831-position model. Lineage: Eukaryota; Fungi. The record is from RNAcentral.